RNAcentral lists this ribosomal RNA (852 nucleotides) under uncultured bacterium. RNAcentral describes it as "bacterial LSU rRNA". It matches the Rfam family "Bacterial large subunit ribosomal RNA", at positions 173 to 1027 of the family's 2925-position model. The record is from RNAcentral.
AGCGGGGCGAACCCGGCGAACUGAAACAUCUAAGUAGCCGGAGGAAGAGAAAACAAGAGUGAUUCCGGGAGUAGCGGCGAGCGAAACCGGAAGAGUCCAAACCGGCCAUGUUCCGGCAUGGCCGGGGUUGUAGGACCGCGACGUUCGGACAGCGAUGAACUAGAGCCCGUUGGAAAGCGGGGCCAUAGACGGUGAUAGCCCGGUAUAGGCAAAGAGCUGCGAGAUAGCGGUAUCCUGAGUAGUGCGGGGCACGUGAAACCCUGCAUGAACCCGGCGGGACCAUCCGCCAAGACUAAAUACUCCUGGGAGACCGAUAGUGUACCAGUACCGUGAGGGAAAGGUGAAAAGAACCGUGAACAACGGAGUGAAAAAGAUCCUGAAACCAUACGCCUACAAGCGGUCGGAGCCCUUCGGGGUGACGGCGUGCCUUUUGCAUAAUGAGCCUACGAGUUACUUUUACCGGCAAGGUUAAGGUGUUAAGCACCGGAGCCGUAGCGAAAGCGAGUCUUAACAGGGCGCCGCAGUCGGUAGUAGUAGACGCGAAACCGUGCGAUCUACCCAUGGGCAGGCUGAGGCUGUGGUAACACAUAGUGGAGGGCCGAACCCGUUGACGUUGAAAAGUCUUGGGAUGACCUGUGGGUAGGGGUGAAAGGCCAAUCAAGCUCGGAAAUAGCUCGUACUCCCCGAAAUGCAUUUAGGUGCAGCGUGUUAUUAGUUUUAUAGAGGUAGAGCUACUGAUUGGAUGCGGGGGCUUCACCGCCUACCAAUUCCCGACAAACUCCGAAUGCUAUAAAACGAUGUAACGCAGUGAGGGCAUGGGUGCUAAGGUCCAUGUCCGAGAGGGAAAGAACC